AGUGAACGCUGGCGGUAGGCCUAACACAUGCAAGUCGAACGGCAGCACAGUAAGAGCUUGCUCUUACGGGUGGCGAGUGGCGGACGGGUGCGGAAUACAUCGGAAUCUACUUUUUCGUGGGGGCUAACGUAGGGAAACUUACGCUAAUACCGCAUACGACCUACGGGUGAAAGCAGGGGAUCUUCGGACCUUGCGCGAUUGAAUGAGCCGAUGUCGGAUUAGCUAGUUGGCGGGGUAAAGGCCCACCAAGGCGGCGAUCCGUAGCUGGUCUGAGAGGAUGAUCAGCCAGAUUGGAACUGAGACACGGUCCAGACUCCUACGGGAGGCAGCAGUGGGGAAUAUUGGGCGAUGGGCGCAAGCCUGAUCCAGCCAUACCGCGUGGGUGAAGAAGGCCUUCGGGUUGUAGAGCCCUUUUGUUGGGAAAGAAAAGCAGCAGGUUAAUACCCCGCUGUUCUGACGGUACCCAAAGAAUAAGCACCGGCUAACUUCGUG
RNAcentral lists this ribosomal RNA (492 nucleotides) under uncultured bacterium. Its description in RNAcentral is "partial 16S ribosomal RNA". It matches the Rfam family "Bacterial small subunit ribosomal RNA", at positions 29 to 507 of the family's 1533-position model. The record is from RNAcentral.